This 485-nucleotide ribosomal RNA is filed under the name uncultured bacterium. Its description in RNAcentral is "partial 16S ribosomal RNA". It matches the Rfam family "Bacterial small subunit ribosomal RNA", at positions 28 to 507 of the family's 1533-position model. The record is from RNAcentral.
GAUGAACGCUGGCGGCGUGCUUAACACAUGCAAGUCGAACGGGAUCCCAGGGGUGCUUGCACUUUUUGGUGAGAGUGGCGAACGGGUGAGUAACACGUGAGUAACCUGUCCUUUUCUUUGGGAUAAGCAUUCGAAAGGGUGUUUAAUACCUUAUGUUCUGUCUGCCUCGCAUGGGGUGGGUGGGAAAGGCUUUGGCCGGAUUUGGGUGGGCUCGCGGUCUAUCAGCUUGUUGGUGGGGUGAUGGCUUACCAAGGCUUUGACGGGUAGCCGGCCUGAGAGGGGGGUCGGUCACAUUGGGACUGAGAUACGGCCCAGACUCCUGCGGGAGGCAGCAGUGGGGGAUAUUGCACAAUGGGCGAAAGCCUGAUGCAGCGACGCCGCGUGGGGGAUGAAGGCCUUCGGGUUGUAAACUUCUUUUGCUCUGAACAAGGCAUGCCAGUGGGUGUGUUGAGUGUAGGGGUUGAUUAGCGCCGGCUAACUACGUG